Syngnathus typhle (broad-nosed pipefish) is the source of this 1882-nucleotide long non-coding RNA. RefSeq lists it as uncharacterized. NCBI's taxonomy places the organism in Eukaryota, Metazoa, Chordata, Actinopteri, Syngnathiformes, Syngnathidae. The record is from RefSeq and is a predicted model, not a curated record. The transcript has 3 exons.
CUGUCAGUAUUCACUUUGUGCCUCGUGUUGAUGUCCCUCCACCUUGCUUCACAGGAUGUGUCACUCAUCAAAGCCUCUGCUGGAGGAUCUUAUUUUCCUUUCAAAUGAAAAGUGGCUGGAUGAACUAUCUCAAUCCAACAUGUGUUCAAAUCUACAGAAGCCACCCAGCAAGGGUCUGGUAGGUGGGUGCUCCCACAGUUUGUUGGUCCUCUUUGACAAAUUGAUGAUUGCGACACCAUUUCCAAUCUUUGCUGAGCUUUGGUCAUCAUCAACAAGCUCCGAAGGGAACACUUCCAACAGAAAUGGUUUAUGUUAGCUCACCUUCAGGUACUCGUCGGACGACAUAAUGUCUACCUUCUUGGCCCCUUUCAGAGGCACGCUGAUGAAAACCAUGGACUCUGUCUGCGUCCAUGAGUGGUCUGUUACGAGGAGGGGCAUCUAGUUCGUGGGCCUACACGGAUUUGUGGAUGUUUCUGGUUAUGUAUCUGCAGUUACUGUCGAAUUAAACGCGCUUAAUUUAUGAUUCGAUACAACUUUAUUGCCAGCGAGAAACAAAAGGCUAACGGAGAUGUUGUUGAUGUUGAUGAUUGUUACUAUGGAAACCAUGGAGUUAACGUUGCAUUCAAGUCUAUCGGAAACAUGAGUGUCGAACAAAUGCACUCUAAUGAGGAUUUUGUAUUGAUCAUUCUCACGAGAACUGGAUGGCAUCAGUUAUCUGCAGAAUACGUGUUUUGUUAAGCCAUAUUUUGCUGUUCGAAAAUGUAAAUACCUAGCACAAUUUAGUGAAUAACAUUCGCAGAGUAAAACUUUAUCGUCACAUUGCUGAUGUCAUAAAUACAAUAUGACGGAUUGAGGAACGCCAGUACGUAUCACGUGUGGAAAUGUUAUUCCUAAAAUGCAUCCAUCCAUCCAUCCAUCCAUCCAUCCAUCCAUCCAUCCAUCCAUCCAUCCAUCCAUCCAUCCAUCCAUCCAUCCAUCCAUCCAUCCAUCCAUCCAUCCAUCCAUCCAUCCAUCCAUCCAUCCAUCCAUCCAACUUCUCUAUACACGCCAAAACGUUUACGAGAGAUUUGCGCCACCUUGUGGCUACAUUCUCGGUCACGUGAUGCAUGGUUAUUUUAUGACAGAGUUCCUGGAGUUUUAAAUGAUUUUUUACUGAAGUAGCUUUAUUGACUAUUCAGCCACUUAAAGCUCAUAAAAUAUGAUUGAACAAUCUUACAUAAUAAACCUUUCCUUCCAUUUUAAAUGAUCUUGACUACUAUUUUCUGUUAGCCAUUCUGAAGAGGCCAGUUGUCAUUUUAUGUCACACUCCAAGGUUAAGUCAAGUUUAUUUGUUUAGCCCUAAAUCACAAUCAGUCUCAAAGGGCUUCACAUAAACAGAAAUUGACAAUUAUUCUCAAAGGUUAGGUUGUGCAUUAAAACAUUUCCCAUAAAUGCUCACAACCUUGUCGCAGGUGUAAUCUGAUGGAGAUACCAAGUCUUAACAAUCGCUUAUCUCUUGAACUGUCGUGACCGGUCGGUGACUCAUCAGUUGUUCAGAUAAUGCUGAUCCUUUAUGCUUUUGUCCAGUUCAUUCUGUCAUAAGCCAGAUUCCAUAAUGUAUCAGUUGCUAUACAGUUGUCGUUUCCCUUACUACAUGCUUUGUUCCGUUAUGUCAAUCUUUAUUCUGUCAAACAAGCCUGAUGUCUUGCGGUAUGUAAGCCCGGGUUACUCUGUGAGAAGUUGUCAGUGUGUCAAGCUAUCUAUCUUCCAGGUAGAACCUCAAAUUUUCUUGAGUAGCCAUCCCUGCUUUCUGGGGACACUUGAUAAAAACGUGUACUUUUCAAUUUUUGUAUCAUGUCUCUUUCUGGGACCCUAUCUUGCUCCACACGUGACAUGAACAUCA